Molecule: unclassified non-coding RNA, 305 nt
Filed under: Melitaea cinxia (Glanville fritillary)
Lineage: Eukaryota; Metazoa; Arthropoda; Insecta; Lepidoptera; Nymphalidae
Description: misc RNA ENSMCXG00005014810.1
Source: RNAcentral
ACUGUCGAGGGGCAUUUUGAGGACGUCAUCUGGACCGCAAUUAGAAUCGCCCGGGGACGGUCGCAAGUCAGUCCGGCCGUGACGGCGCAUUCGAAACGUCAUAUGUUUUAUUACGCCGGAACUAGAUUGACAAGCUGCAGUGCUGUCGUCUGGCGGAGCGUCGUAGCGUUGGUUAGCGCGGCCAUGUUGGCAACUUUACUUUUUGUUACCGCAUCGCAAGCGCACCACGUACCGAGUCGACGAAUCGCUUUUGUUCCGCGUAAUCUUUUGAUAUCUAUUGUUAAUUGUUACUGAUUGUUAUAGUG